Molecule: ribosomal RNA, 438 nt
Filed under: Triticum aestivum (bread wheat)
Lineage: Eukaryota; Viridiplantae; Streptophyta; Magnoliopsida; Poales; Poaceae
Description: partial small subunit ribosomal RNA
Source: RNAcentral
AUGCAUGCCGCCAUCUUCCCCGCUGAAAAGCGAAGAUGCAUGUCUCCUUCCCAGCUGCCUCCGGCAACCCGGUGCACCACACCGCGCGACGCGUGCUCCGGCGCAUAUUCCUCGCCAGCCUGGGAGUCGCUGCAUGCAGAUUUGGUUUGCCUGGUCGCGUCGGGCUUGUUGACCAGAGGAGAUCUACUGGACUAUGUCCGCUUCCGUGCCGUCUGCGCGCACUGGCGAUCGGCCACGCUCUCUCCACGCGGCCGCGGGGUUGUUGAUUCGUGCUUCCAUCCACGCCGCUGGAUGAUGUUCCCAGAGGACCGUGGCCUUUACCCUGGACAUCCGGAGCUGGGUGACUACAUCCGCUUCUUUAACCUAGACUCAGGAGCCUUUGUCCGCGUCUGUCUGCCAUUGUUCAGGAACCACUCUUCUACACCCUUUCAUCCGUGA